Long non-coding RNA from Triticum aestivum (bread wheat), 1301 nucleotides. RefSeq lists it as uncharacterized. The transcript is spliced from 2 exons. Lineage: Eukaryota; Viridiplantae; Streptophyta; Magnoliopsida; Poales; Poaceae. The record is from RefSeq and is a predicted model, not a curated record.
UCGGUGUUCUGCACAGGUACAACCUCAACCUGCUGAGGAUUCUUCUCAGGAAUCGCGUUCCCAUCCGCAUCCCCGUCGUUCUCGGGCGGAUUUGGGCCCCAGGCAGCCCAGGCCAUUGCCUGGGGCGUGGGAAAUUUUCUAGGCCUAGAUUUUUUUUAAAAAGUGUUCGGCCUGGGGCGCAGCCCACUUCCAAGCCCAGGCAGCCCAGGCGAACUGGCCCGGUCGCCCAGGCCGACUCCCUCUGCCCGCACGAACGCGCAACCCUCACCGCCCGCAGAGACGAACCAGCCGCAACCGCCCCUUCUGCUUCUUCCCCCGACUUGACGAACCCUAGGCGCCGCCACCGCCUGCCGUCGGUGCCGCCACUGCCUGCCGUCGUGCCUGCCAGCUCCGUCCGGCAGCGCCCCCGGGCUCCCCCCACCUUCCAGUCUUCGCUCCCUUCUGCUUCUGCGGCGUCCCCGCGUCAGGUUGCGCCGCUGCCGGCUGCUGGCCUGUCCGGCGAGGGCGCGAGGCGGCGACCCCGGCUAGGCAGCUACGGCGGCUAGGGCGCGAGGCUACAUGCUUUUGCAAAUGCUCUUGUGCUGUUGUGCACAUUCAUCCCAGCCAGUAUCCCAGCCACUUGGACUCUACUAAUUCAACUCUGAAGAAGAACAAGGUUAAUGAUAUAAGAGGACUCCAAAACUUGGCCAAGUCAUUAUCUGCACAGGGUUCUGGUCAGUUCUGUAAUGCCAUGAAUAGUAUAAAUUAUGCAUUGAGAAACUGUUUCUGCUUUAACUGGAGAAAUAACUUAAAUGCCAUGAGUGAAUACACAUUCUAUUCAUGACCAUGUAGUCUUCAUGAAGCUGUUGGAUAGCAUAGCAUACCUUAAACCUUGCAGUAGUCAGGGUAAUGAAUCUUCUGUUUGAUCUUUUAAAUCAGCCGUGGCACAGCGCAAAGCUACGAGACAAAUUUCAGUACUUGAAGAAAAAAUUGUGAUUAAAUAGCAGAAGAAGACUUGAUGGCCGUUUGGAAAGAAAUAAAAGCUGCCUUAAUCUAUUACUUGUAUUUUGUUAGCACACCAAGUUAGGUCUUGCAAAAGUUGGCAACAGCUUAAAUUAGUGCUGAAAGAUGGUUAUAAAUGUUCAAAUUAGACCCAUGUUUCUUUCUUUCUUAUGUUACUAUAGGACAAAGCUUUGUGCCGAAUAGGCAGAAAAGGGAAGCCAUGUAUUUGGUGAUACAUGUGGCAGAAUAGCAUAGUGUAGAAGAACCAAGUUCUUUUGUAAGGAAGCAUAACUUCAAAUCAACUGUUUUGAGUAAUUUUU